GGAGUUAGCCGGUGCUUCUUCUGUGAGUGAUGUCCUUCCUGCCGGUUAUUGACCCGCAGGCCUUCUUCCUCACUGAAAGUGCUUUACAACCCGAAGGCCUUCUUCACACACGCGGCAUGGCUGGAUCAGGGUUGCCCCCAUUGUCCAAUAUUCCCCACUGCUGCCUCCCGUAGGAGUCUGGGCCGUGUCUCAGUCCCAGUGUGGCUGAUCAUCCUCUCAGACCAGCUACGGAUCGUCGCCUUGGUGAGCCGUUACCUCACCAACCAGCUAAUCCGACAUAGGCUCAUCCGAUAGCGCGAGGCCCGAAGGUCCCCCGCUUUCCCCCGUAGGGCGUAUGCGGUAUUAGCCUGGGUUUCCCCAGGUUAUCCCCCACUACCGGGCAGAUUCCUAUGCAUUACUCACCCGUCCGCCGCUCGCCACCAGGGAGCAAGCUCCCCGUGCUGCCGCUCGACUUGCAUGUGUUAGGCCUGCCGCCACGCGUUCAUCUGAACCAAGAUACAACUACUGA
Molecule: ribosomal RNA, 508 nt
Filed under: uncultured bacterium
Lineage: Bacteria
Description: partial 16S ribosomal RNA
Source: RNAcentral